GUAGGUGGCAAGCGUUGUCCGGAAUUAUUGGGGCGUAAAGCGCGCGCAGGCGGUUCUUUAAGUCUGAUGUGAAAGCCCACGGGCUCAACCGUGGAGGGUCAUUGGAAACUGGAGAACUUGAGUACAGAAGAGGAAAGCGGAAGUUCCACGUGUAGCGGUGAAAUGCGUAGAGAUGUGGAGGAACACCAGUGGCGAAGGCGGCUUUCUGGUCUGUAACUGACGCUGAGGCGCGAAAGCGUGGGGAGCAAACAGGAUUAGAUACCCUGGUAGUCCACGCCGUAAACGAUGAGUGCUAAGUGUUAGGGGGUUUCCGCCCCUUAGUGCUGCAGCUAACGCAUUAAGCACUCCGCCUGGGGAGUACGGCCGCAAAGGCUG
RNAcentral lists this ribosomal RNA (375 nucleotides) under uncultured organism. RNAcentral's name for it is "partial 16S ribosomal RNA". It matches the Rfam family "Bacterial small subunit ribosomal RNA", at positions 527 to 896 of the family's 1533-position model. The record is from RNAcentral.